This 326-nucleotide ribosomal RNA is filed under the name uncultured bacterium. RNAcentral describes it as "bacterial SSU rRNA". It matches the Rfam family "Bacterial small subunit ribosomal RNA", at positions 28 to 334 of the family's 1533-position model. The record is from RNAcentral.
GAUGAACGCUGGCGGCGUGCUUAACACAUGCAAGUCGAACGGAGAGCUAUUGACGGAGUUUUUCGGACAACAGAUAUAGUUACUUAGUGGCGAACGGGUGAGUAACGCGUGAGGAACCUGCCUUUCAGUGGGGGACAACAGUUGGAAACGACUGCUAAUACCGCAUAAUGCAUUUAGGGGGCAUCCCCUGAAUGCCAAAGCUUUAUGUGCUGAAAGAUGGUCUCGCGUCUGAUUAGCUAGUUGGUGGGGUAACGGCCCUCCAAGGCGACGAUCAGUAGCCGGCCUGAGAGGGUGAACGGCCACAUUGGGACUGAGACACGGCCCAA